CGAACGGGUGAGUAAUGCGUGACCAACCUGCCCCAUGCUCCAGAAUAGCUCUUGGAAACGGGUGGUAAUGCUGGAUGCUCCAACUUGACGCAUGUCUUGUUGGGAAAGUGUUUAGUGGCAUGGGAUGGGGUCGCGUCCUAUCAGCUUGUAGGCGGGGUAAUGGCCCACCUAGGCUUCGACGGGUAGCCGGCCCGAGAGGGCGGACGGCCACAUUGGGACUGAGAUACGGCCCAGACUCCUACGGGAGGCAGCAGAU
Molecule: ribosomal RNA, 256 nt
Filed under: uncultured Gardnerella sp.
Lineage: Bacteria; Bacillati; Actinomycetota; Actinomycetes; Bifidobacteriales; Bifidobacteriaceae
Description: partial 16S ribosomal RNA
Rfam family: Bacterial small subunit ribosomal RNA
Source: RNAcentral